RNAcentral lists this ribosomal RNA (609 nucleotides) under uncultured archaeon. RNAcentral describes it as "bacterial SSU rRNA". It matches the Rfam family "Archaeal small subunit ribosomal RNA", at positions 319 to 930 of the family's 1478-position model. The record is from RNAcentral.
GGCCCUACGGGGCGCAGCAGUCGCGAAAACUUUGCAAUACACGAAAGUGUGACAGGGUCAUCCCGAGUGCCGACCGCUGAGGUUGGCUUUUACCCAGUCUAGAAAGCUGGGGGAAUAAGGAGAGGGCAAGUCUGGUGUCAGCCGCCGCGGUAAUACCAGCUCUCCGAGUGGUGUGGACGUUUAUUGGGCCUAAAGCAUCCGUAGCUGGCUGAACAAGUCCCCUGUUAAACCCACCGAUUUAAUCGUUGGCUUGCGGGGGAAACUGCUCGGCUAGGGGACGAGAGAGGCAAGCGGUAUUCUCGGGGUAGGGGUGAAAUCCUAUAAUCCCGAGAAGACCACCAGUGGCGAAGGCUGCUUGCUAGAACGCGCCCGACGGUGAGGGAUGAAAGCUGGGGGAGCGAACCGGAUUAGAUACCCGGGUAGUCCCAGCUGUAAACGAUGCAGACUAGGUGUUUGGACGGCCACGUGCCGUUCUAGUGCCGCAGGGAAGCUGUUAAGUCUGCCGCCUGGGGAGUACGAUCGCAAGAUUGAAACUUAAAGGAAUUGGCGGGGGAGCACCACAAGGGGUGAAGCUUGCGGUUUAAUUGGAGUCAACGCCGGAAAUCUCAC